Molecule: unclassified non-coding RNA, 342 nt
Filed under: soil metagenome
Description: partial contains 5.8S ribosomal RNA, internal transcribed spacer 2, and large subunit ribosomal RNA
Rfam family: 5.8S ribosomal RNA (bases 1-120)
Source: RNAcentral
GAUGAAGAACGUAGCAAAAUGCGAUAAGUAAUGUGAAUUGCAGAAUUCAGUGAAUCAUCGAAUCUUUGAACGCACAUUGCGCCCGCCAGUAUUCUGGCGGGCAUGCCUGUUCGAGCAUCAUUUCAACCCUCAAGCCCCCGGGUUUGGUGUUGGGGAUCGGGCUGUACUCCAGCCCGGCCCCGAAAUCUAGUGGCGGUCUCGCUGCAGCCUCCAUUGCGUAGUAGCUAACACCUCGCAACUGGAACGCGGCGCGGCCAAGCCGUUAAACCCCCAACUUCUGAAUGUUGACCUCGGAUCAGGUAGGAAUACCCGCUGAACUUAAGCAUAUCAAUAAGCGGAGGA